CCCUUAGAUGUCCGGGGCUGCACGCGCGCUACACUGAAGGAAUCAGCGUGCUAAAACCAUUGUCGAAAGGCAUUGGUAAACCCAUUAAAAUCCUACGUGAUUGGGAUCGGGAAUUGCAAUUAUUUCCCUUGAACGAGGAAUUCCCAGUAAGUGUGGGUCAUAAGCUCGCGUUGAUUACGUCCCUGCCCUUUGUACACACCGCCCGUCGCUCCUACCGAUUGAAUGGUCCGGUGAAAUGUUCGGACCGCGACAAGGCGGACGGUUCGCUGUCAGCUUUGCUGCGGGAAGUUCAUUAAACCUUAUCAUUUAGAGGAAGGAGAAGUCGUAACA
This 330-nucleotide ribosomal RNA is filed under the name uncultured eukaryote. RNAcentral's name for it is "partial 18S ribosomal RNA". It matches the Rfam family "Eukaryotic small subunit ribosomal RNA", at positions 1470 to 1796 of the family's 1831-position model. The record is from RNAcentral.